This 177-nucleotide ribosomal RNA is filed under the name Triticum aestivum (bread wheat). RNAcentral's name for it is "partial small subunit ribosomal RNA". Lineage: Eukaryota; Viridiplantae; Streptophyta; Magnoliopsida; Poales; Poaceae. The record is from RNAcentral.
UUCCUCUGGCAUGGACGCAAGGACGCGAGCAGCGGCCACUGCCUCGUCAAUUGGCGCCGUGUCUGCCGCCCCAUUACCCUGGGUGGCCUUGGCAUCCCGGACCUCUACCUUGGGGGCAUCUCCUUGCGCACCCGUUGGCUGUGGCUCCAGAGGACGGAUCCUUCGCGCCCAUGGCAA